Molecule: long non-coding RNA, 550 nt
Organism: Poecilia latipinna (sailfin molly)
Lineage: Eukaryota; Metazoa; Chordata; Actinopteri; Cyprinodontiformes; Poeciliidae
Exons: 2
Source: RefSeq, a predicted model, not a curated record
UGGCAACCCUGUCGAACGGCGCCAUGUUUGUUUUUUUAUGAGCUUGAGGCGCAUGCGCUAUACAGGGUAGCAAUAUGGCGCAGUUUUGACGUGAGCGGUUGAAAUGAGAGGCACUUGGCCACAGAGACAUGAAACCAGCAUCCUGGAACUCGGAUUUGGGAAUGGUCUUUCCUCCCAAGACCCCCAAUCUGCGUUGACUGUCAUCUUAAAUGACUGAGAACAUUUGCGGAUCUACCUGAAAUCAUCGCCGCGUUGAUGCGGCUUAGUAACCUGACGUCGCCAUGUUUGAAGUCGCUGCGUCUGUUAUUCGAGCAGCUGCCUGAGGACGGACCGACCAUGGCGUCUCAGCAGUGGUUUGUUUGGCUGCUGGCAUCACUGAAAUAUGAGGAGAACAAAAUGGCGUCCUGAGCUGCCAGCAGAUGGAUUAUGGACAUACUAAAGAGACGCAGUGAAGCUGAGGAUGUCUACAAGCUGCCUGGACAUUCGCCCGACCCAUCAACGGUUGGACAGGUCAAACAACUGUUCGAUGGCGGGUCCAGAAAUCUCAAGG